UGGGUGGAAUCCUAUCUCUCUGACAGAUCCUUCAAGGUAUCAUGGAGCCUGACGAUCCAUCCGUCUCUGCACGCAUCUCUGCUUGCCUGUUGGACAUCUCUGUCAGGAUGAGGAAAUACCAUAUUAAGCUCAACCUUGCAAAAUCUGAGCUUCUCCUCAUCCCAGCCUGUCCCUCAAUCAACCACAACCUCACUGUACAGCUUGGCUCAACCACACUCAAGCCAACCAGGAUGGCCAGGAACCUUGGCGUGAUUCUUGACGACAGUUUGACCUUUACAGACCACAUCUGAACAACUGCACGGUCCUGUAGGUUCAUCCUGUACAACAUCAAGAAAAUCAGACCCUACCUCACCGAACAGGCUACACAGAUACAAGUCCAGGCUCUUGUUAUCUCAAAACUGGACUACUGCAACUCACUACUUUCGGGCCUCCCAGCCAGCUCCAUCAAACCCCUACAGAUGAUUCAGAAUGCUGCAGCUCGCCUCGUCUUCAACCAGCCUAAGAGAACCCAUGUCACACCCCUCUUCAUCUCCCUCCACUGGCUUCCUGUAGCUGCCCAUGUAGCCCAGGCUUAACAAUGAGAAACACUAUUUAGCUGUCUAACCAAGUCACAAAAGGGUUAACUUUGAUUUUCUUGUUGUCUUUGAUGGAUUUGUAAGUGAGCAAAUGGGUGAACUCUAUGAGGCAGUGAACUGACCAAUCAGCUGCCAGCUAGGCUCUUUUACAGUUACACCUCUAGGUUAGUGUCUCUGCACGUUCUUUUGGGGCUUGCACCUGAGCAUAGGAGGCUGCAUUAUCCACUGGGUAAGACGAAAAAACGACAUGGAGUGAAUUAAACAAGUUCUGUACUCAUUAUUGCUUAUACUUACAUAUCUUGUUGUAAUACAGAGAGUAAAAGAGAGCUGUGCCUCAAUCCACUGUUGUCACGGAGCUAAAGGCAGUGAAUUCUGCUAAAAUGGUUUUGGUAAAGAGUUGGAAACAUCGUGCGGAGAUCCUUUCCACGGAAUGAUACAGAUCCCCACGUUCCAGGCGUUCUCCCAGAGAUUCAUAGAUUCCCAGUCCGGGGGGCUGGGUGGCGAGCUAACCGUGUUUGUGACUCUGACUUUAGAAGGAUUGCCAGGAUCAUCAUCUUCAUCUUCAUGGUGGUAGCACAAACACUAACACGAACUAAAAAGGGCCCAACGUUGGUGACUGAACUCUUGUCAGCAAAGGCAAGUGAAACUGAGGACGCACUAAGCUCAAGGGAAUUUAAAAGGGGAUUUAUUUACGUGCGCACUUUAUUAUUUUAGUUUGUUAUUUUUUUCAUAACUGUUUUUGUAUAUGUAUGUACCAGCCCAUGUGUGUUUAAUACAUUUUAUGCAAAUUGUCAUUCUGAUGUGGUAUUCUUUUUAUUGACCUUCAAUUCUCAGGCUCUUAACAAUGUAGCAUCUUCUGAUUCUGGUCCAUAUUCAUAUUACUGAUAACCUCUAAGACUACUUUAG
Ictalurus punctatus (channel catfish) is the source of this 1481-nucleotide long non-coding RNA. Lineage: Eukaryota; Metazoa; Chordata; Actinopteri; Siluriformes; Ictaluridae. The record is from Ensembl.